Non-coding RNA from Angiostrongylus costaricensis, 72 nucleotides. The record is from Rfam. Lineage: Eukaryota; Metazoa; Nematoda; Chromadorea; Rhabditida; Metastrongylidae.
AGCAGCGUGGCGCAGUGGAAGCGUGCUGGGCCCAUAACCCAGAGGUCGGUGGAUCGAAACCACUCCCUACUA